AUUGAACGCUGGCGGCAGGCCUAACACAUGCACGUCGGGCGAGUGGCGUACGGGUGAGUAAUGCUUGGGACUCUAGCUUAUGGAGGGGGAUAACUACGGGCAACUGUAGCUAAUACCGCGUACCAUAGGAUGAGCCCAAGUGGGAUUAGGUAGUUGGUGAGGUAAAGGCUCACCAAGCCGACGAUCUCUAGCGGGUCUGAGAGGAUGACCAGCAACACUGGGACUGAGACACGGCCCAGACUCCUACGGGAGGCAGCAGUGGGGAAUAUUGCGCAAUGGGGGCAACCUGACGCAGCCAUGCCGCGUGAAUGAAGAAGGCCUUCGGGUUGUAAAGUGCUUUCGGUAGCGAGGCGUUAACUACAGAAGAAGCACCGGCUAACUCCGUGCCAGCCGCCGCGGUAAUAC
RNAcentral lists this ribosomal RNA (405 nucleotides) under uncultured bacterium. Its description in RNAcentral is "partial 16S ribosomal RNA". It matches the Rfam family "Bacterial small subunit ribosomal RNA", at positions 30 to 526 of the family's 1533-position model. The record is from RNAcentral.